AAUGGGCGAAAGCCUGACGGAGCAAUGCCGCGUGUGGGAUGAAGCAUUUCGAUGUGUAAACCACUGUCAGAAUCUAGAAAUACUGAUCAGAUUCAGAGGAAGGACCGGCUAAUUCCGUGCCAGCAGCCGCGGUAAUACGGAAGGUCCAAGCGUUAUUCGGAAUCACUGGGCUUAAAGCGUACGCAGGCGGACUUGUAGGUAUCUUGUGAAAUCCCACGGCUCAACCGUGGAACUGCAGGGUAGACCACAAGUCUUGAGACAAGUAGGGGUCAGUGGAACGAUAUGUGGAGCGGUGAAAUGCGUAGAUAUAUAUCGGACGCCAAUGGCGAAGGCAGCUGACUGGGCUUGUUCUGACGCUCAGGUACGAAAGCGUGGGUAGCGAACGGGAUU
RNAcentral lists this ribosomal RNA (390 nucleotides) under uncultured Gammaproteobacteria bacterium. Its description in RNAcentral is "bacterial SSU rRNA". It matches the Rfam family "Bacterial small subunit ribosomal RNA", at positions 370 to 779 of the family's 1533-position model. Lineage: Bacteria; Pseudomonadati; Pseudomonadota; Gammaproteobacteria. The record is from RNAcentral.